UAGGGAAUCUUCCACAAUGGACGCAAGUCUGAUGGAGCAACGCCGCGUGAGUGAAGAAGGUUUUCGGAUCGUAAGGCCUGGUGGUGGGGGAGGAGGGUAAGGGGAGUAAACGGGCUUUAUUUGAAGGUAAUUAACCCAGAAGUUAAGGCUAAAUUCGGUGCAAGCGCCGCGGUAAUACGUAGGUGGCAAGCGUUGUCCGGAUUUAUUGGGCGUAAAGCGAGCGCAGGCGGAAGAAUAAGUCUGAUGUGAAAGCCCUCGGCUUAACCGAGGAACUGCAUCGGAAACUGUUUUUCUUGAGUGCAGAAGAGGAGAGUGGAAUUCCAUGUGUAGCGGUGGAAUGCGUAGAUAUAUGGAAGAACACCAGUGGCGAAGGCGACUCUCUGGUCUGCAACUGACGCUGAGGCUCGAAAGCAUGGGUAGCGAACAGG
RNAcentral lists this ribosomal RNA (428 nucleotides) under bacterium. RNAcentral's name for it is "partial 16S ribosomal RNA". It matches the Rfam family "Bacterial small subunit ribosomal RNA", at positions 355 to 776 of the family's 1533-position model. The record is from RNAcentral.